AUGACCAACGCCUCCAUAGGAUCCUCUAUUUUAUGGUAGAAGUCAACUCAUUUGGGUAUUAUUCUACUAUACUGUCAUGACCUAAACCUUGGGGGUUAUGACUAGUGCUAGGAUUUGGCUUAGCUUAAGGCUCCCAAAUCCCGUAACAAGCCUAAAACACUUGUAACAUGCGCAAAACACUUCUAACGUGUUCCAUCUUCAACAUACAUCAUCAGUCUAAAUAUACACAAUAUACAGCAAGCAUAUCUUUGGGAUUACAUUUUCAACCUAUGGCAACUCCAAAACAUAUCACUAUUGCACAACCACGACCCAACAUGCAAUAGACAGUUGUUGAAG
This 336-nucleotide unclassified non-coding RNA is filed under the name Hevea brasiliensis (rubber tree). Lineage: Eukaryota; Viridiplantae; Streptophyta; Magnoliopsida; Malpighiales; Euphorbiaceae. The record is from RNAcentral.